RNAcentral lists this ribosomal RNA (495 nucleotides) under uncultured Streptosporangiaceae bacterium. RNAcentral's name for it is "partial 16S ribosomal RNA". Lineage: Bacteria; Bacillati; Actinomycetota; Actinomycetes; Streptosporangiales; Streptosporangiaceae. The record is from RNAcentral.
CACGUAGUUAGCCGACGCUUCUUCCGCAGGUACACGUCAACUUCGUCCCUGCCGAAAGAGGUUUACACCCGAAGGCCUUCAUCCCCCACGCGGCGUCGCUGCGUCAGGCUUUCGCCCAUUGCGCAAUAUUCCCCACUGCUGCCUCCCGUAGGAGUCUGGGCCGUGUCUCAGUCCCAGUGUGGCCGGUCGCCCUCUCAGGCCGGCUACCCGUCGUCGCCUUGGUAGGCCGUUACCCCACCAACCAAGCUGAUAGGCCGCGAGCCCAUCCCUGACCGGAAGACCCAAACGAGCCAACCUUUCCACCCACCCCCAUGCGGAGGCAGGUCAUAUCCGGUAUUAGACCCGGUUUCCCAGGCUUAUCCCAGUGUCAGGGGCAGGUUGCUCACGUGUUACUCACCCGUUCGCCGCUCGAGUACCCCCGAAGGGGCCUUUCCGCUCGACUUGCAUGUGUUAAGCACGCCGCCAGCCGUUGUCCUGAGCCACGGAUCAAACUAC